UCUUUGUUCUAGGGAUUCACAUAUAAACAAGCAUCAGAUUUUGGAAUUCAUCAUGCACAGCUCCCCCUUGGAAGUUUUGUGAAGAUGAAUAGUCGAAAAGUUUUGGCAGUUAAUCAUGUAUUUGAGAUUAUUCUGGGAUACCUGGAAACAAGAAACUGGCAAGAAGCAUUUUUCACUAUCUUACCCCAAAGGAAAGGAGCUGUUCCYACAGACAAAGCCUGUGAAAGUUCUUCCCAGGACAAGCAGUGUGCCAUGGUUGAAGAUGGAUCGGACAGUGAUUCCAGUGAAGAAGAAUAUAGCAAAAAUGAAACAGGGUCACCACAUAAAGAUGAACAACAGGAUAAGGAAAAUAGCACUGAAUCUACAAUGCAAUCUGCACCACACUAACAUUACCUGUUUUUCUUUUAGUAAGGAAAAAUUAGGAGAAAGUGAGGUGCUUCAAAAAAUAUUCAAAUUGGAAAAAAAUUUAUUUUCUCAUUUAUUUUGUGAAUUUUAAAAACUCUUUAGAGCUAAAUGGUGAUGAAAAACCCUUUAAACUCUGUAAGAAUUUUUGUUUWUGUAUAAGACAACUUUGUGUUGCUUCUUAAAUUACUUUUUAAGCCUCAAAUAAGAGUUUUAGAGAAUUUUACUUUAUUAGUAUACCCUAUUUCUCUUUUCUUUGUUGGAAUAUAUUCUUCAGAAUGUGCCUUCUGACCUAUCAGUUCAUAUCAGUGACCUUUAUGUUUGUUUAUAUCAGUGUCUUUCUAAUCUGUUGUGUAUGUAUUUUUGGGGCAGAUAUUCAUAAAUCCCCUGUAACUCUAUUAAAAUGUUAUAUAUGAGAGCUUAUCUUCCAUUUGCAGCUUUUACAUCCAAUUUAUUUAGUUAAAAAAUAUCAAUUUGCUACUUAAUAAUUCAUUUCUUUUGGACUGUGGAGUGCACACCUGUGCUUCCUUUGUGGCCUUUUCAUGGUUCUGAAGUAAUAACAAAAUAGUAGAAAAUAUCUUUAAUUCAUUUUCUUAAUUCCUAUAAUGGUAACAAAUUAUUUCAGUUAUAAAAUCAAAUUUUUGCAGGCAAGAUUAUUUUAUAAGGCUGUUACUUUUGAAGGAUCAAUUUUGUCUUUACCUGAUUUAAAACAUAACAGUCCUUAUGAGCUAUCCUUUCCUUACAAAUAUUUUUUWWAAAAAAUAUUUGUUGACUUUUAAGGUGAAUAUUGUGCAUCUGUCUAUCAUAUAAUAUUCAAACUAACAUAAAUGUGUGUCUCUGUAAAUAACGUGCACGUAUAAAAAUACGCGUGUAAUGGUCUGUCUGUCCGUAUCAUGUAUGGUUCUGUUAUUAACUGAUGAAAACAGACUGAUUUGUAUUAUUUGUGUGGUUGCGUCGAAAACACUAAGAGCAAUUAGAAUUUCAUUAACACAAAAAUCCGUAACCAAACAUUCAUUUGGAAAAGUUGGCAAGGGAGCAUGGAGCAAAAAUGAUCUGUUUUAGCCUCUAAAUGGUGAUUGUAGAGAAGUUGUAUUUAAAAUAAAGUGAUUGUUCUCUGUCA
Molecule: long non-coding RNA, 1522 nt
Filed under: Urocitellus parryii (Arctic ground squirrel)
Lineage: Eukaryota; Metazoa; Chordata; Mammalia; Rodentia; Sciuridae
Description: lncRNA (ENSUPAG00010012783.1)
Source: RNAcentral